AACAAGGCGUACCUGCGGACCUGCGGAGGGAUCAUUACGAAAUUCUCGGGGGGUGCGACCUGUCACGGCCUGCGCCCCCGCUGGAAGCGCCGGAAGGCGUCUGACAGCGCAGCCCUUUGUGAAAUUCCCCCGUUGCUUCGGCAGCCCCUCCCAAGGAGCUGUAAGCCUGCCGGCGGCAUUGUGGAAACUCAUCCUGAAAACCUGCACCCUCUGUCUGAACAGCGCAGUCGAAUGACUAUA
Molecule: unclassified non-coding RNA, 240 nt
Filed under: soil metagenome
Description: partial contains 5.8S ribosomal RNA, internal transcribed spacer 2, and large subunit ribosomal RNA
Source: RNAcentral